Molecule: long non-coding RNA, 4038 nt
Filed under: Homo sapiens (human)
Lineage: Eukaryota; Metazoa; Chordata; Mammalia; Primates; Hominidae
Description: non-protein coding lnc-ASPSCR1-1:8
Source: RNAcentral
AGACAGCCGUGAUCAGAGCCCCGGAAUAGCAGCUUGCGUGCCUGUCCCCAUCUUAGAGAGACAUCUGACCCCUGGUCCCCUGUGGAGCCCCUGCCGGGACCAUUAACCCAUUGGCUGCUGGCACCACCCCCACCUCCGCCUCCCGCGCACCUGCAUCUGUCAAUCCGGGACUCUGGCCUUGUGGAUUCUGGUGUUUUGGAGGUACUGGAUCCCAUCCCCCAAGGAUACAAAGGGACAGCUGUACUUGGGACUGGCAUCUGAAGUGGAGGACACUCUUGUGGGACUGAGACCUUAGCCUGCAGGAUCGGGUACUGUCUCCAGGGAGAAAGCGUCACAAUGGAACAGGGUUGGAGGACGCCCAGCGGGUGUCCGCGGAGACUGGAUGGAACCGGGUUGGAGGACGCCCAGCGGGUGUCCGCGGAGACUGGAUGGAACAGGGUUGGAGGACACCCAGUGGGUGCCUGCGGAGACUCGCUGGAGCAGGGUUGGAGGAUGCCUAGUAGGUGUCCACUGGAGACUUGCUUGGUGUUUGGGGAAAAUCCCCACACACAUUUUGGUGACCAGAGAUGAAGUAUUCCAUGUUGGAUGUUGACUGUUGAGUGUGUGAGAGCAGGGAAAACACUGUUUUUUUUUCCUGUCUCAGACACCAGCCCAGCCCUGGAGUCAGCCGUGUCUCCCAGGAACCUGGUUCCUUGUGUUGGGGGAAUGGCAUCAGAGACCAAGACAUGGGGGCCAGGCACGCUUGUUGCUGCUGUGGUAUACAUUCACAAACGUUAACAAAUAUUUUUAUUUUUACUUAUUUAUUUAUUGAAGAUGGGGUCUCGCUCUGUUGCCCAGGCUGGAGUGCAGUGGCAUGAUCUCAGCUCACUGCAAUCUCCGCCUCCUGGGUUCAAGAGAUUCUCUUGCCUCAGCCUCCUGGGUAGCUGGAAUUACAGGCACGCAGCACCACACCCAGCUAAUUUUUCUAUUUGUAGUAGAGACAGAGUUUCACCAUGUUGGUCAGGCUGGUUUCAAUCUCCUGACCUCGUGAUUCACCUGCCUCGGCCUCCCAAAGUGCUGGGAUUACAGGCGUGAGCCACCACGCCCAGCUGGCUUUCUUUUUUUAAGUACAGAGUUUAAAUUUGUAAUGUUGUCACACAGUGGAAGUUCCCUGCUUUCAGUCCCUGAAUAGCAAAGGCUAUGCCUUGGCCAUCGCUGCUGGAAGAGACACGGCUCAGUGUUGGAUGAAUGUCCUGACUGUUUUCGCCCCAGAGAAUGAAAGGCGCCAACCGUCCUGGGAAAGGGCUCGUUUUGUCCCUGGUCCUGCAGGACAGCCUGGGGUCACCGUCACUGCGGAGCUACAGGCCAGCGUCCUCUUCGUGUCCUAGGGCUCGUUUUGUCCCUGGUCCUGCAGGACAGCAUGGCAGCGAUUGACCGAUUGACCAUUAGGUGAGCUGCGCCUCUUUCUCUUUCGGCACAAAUGUGGGAAGAAAGGGUUUAUUUGUCGGUGAAAUCCCUUUGGGCCCAACCCACAAGUGUCCUGUUCAGUGAGCCUGGUCCCCCCAGACACACACCACCAUCCGCCCUCAGGUCCCUUUCAGCCACCUCAGAGGAGCAAACAUCACGCCUGCCAGACUGCAGUGCUCAAGCCAGAGUUGGCCAAGAGCCAGCACCUCGCAUGUGGCUCCCCCAGCUCCCACAGCACGGCAGGGGUCCCAGCAAAGUCUCCCCAGACAGGGUGACAGCCAGGCCUCUUUCGGGCUCCCCAGCCCCCUCUCCCUCCCGAGCUCUGUCCUUGUGGGGAGUCCUGUCCAAGGCCCUGCCUGGAGGUCUGGCUCUGGAGGCCCCGAGAAGGAGGCCACCAGACUCCCCCGGACCCCUUCUCUCACCUCCAGCCCUCGGUCUCCACAUCUCUGACCUUGUCGUCUCCAUUGGCUGCUGGGACUCCAUGGAUUCCCUCCAGAGACCACAUAGGAGUGCUCCACAGGGGGAUCGUGGACAGGCCACUUGGCUCUGCCUGGGGUGGCAGACACCUGCCCACGGGCACCAGUCCUGUCUGGGUAUUCUCAGGCCCAGGGCAGCCCUGACUCAUUGGCACAGAGAGUCAGACCCCAGGACAUGUCCCCAAGGCACAGGGUCCUACGGUCCUGGCCACUCUGGGAAUGGAGCCGUGGCCGCAGGGCAGGUGUGAAGCUCAGGCUGACGUGGCCCCGUGUCCUCUGACCCUUAUGGUCACAUUGCCUCUCUGGGCCUGUUUCUUUGUAAACUGGAGUAUUUAUUUUAUUUUAUUUUAUUUUUUGAGUCAGAAUCUUGCUCUGUCACUCAGGCUGGAGUGCAAUGGUAUGAUCUCAGCUCACUGCAACCUCUGCCUCCUGGGUUCAAGCAAUUCUCAUGCCUCAGCCUCCCGAGUAGCUGGGACUACAGGCACCCGCCACCACACCCGGCUAAUUUUUUGGUAUUUUCAGUAGAGACGGGGUUUCACCGUGUUAGCCAGGAUGGUCUCGAUCUCCUGACCUCGUGAUCCACCCGCCUCGGCCUCCCAAGGUGCUGGGAUUACAGGCAUGAGCCAUUGCGCCCGGCCUUUUUUUUUUUUUUUUGGUAUUUUUAGUAGAGAUGGGGUUUCACCAUGUUGCCCAGGCUGGUCUCAACCUCCUGGCCUCAAGCAAUCCACCCACCUCGGCCUCCCAAAGUGCUGAGAUUACAGGCGUGAGCCACCGCGCCCGGCCUGUAAACUGGCGUUUAUAAUGAAACCCACCUCGUAGGGCUACAUACAAUUGGCAUGGAAUGCUUUGCUCAGAAAGCUCCACCCACAACCAUGCCCAAGGCUGGCAUUGGUGUGACCUUGGUAUUAUCAAAACUACAGAGAUUCAUGGGUACGUUUGUGUGUGUGUUUUGAGACAGAGUCUUGCUCUGUUGCCCAGGCUGGAGUGCAGUGGCACAAUCUCGGCUCACUGCAACCUCCACCUUCCAAGUUCAAGCAGUUCUCCUGCCGCAGCCUCCCAAGUAGCUGGGAUUACAGGUGUGUACCACCACACCCUGCUAAUUCUUGUAGUUUUAGUAGAGACAGGAUUUCACCAUGUUGGCCAGGCUGGUCUUGAACUUCUGACAUCAAGUGAUCCACCAGUCUCAGCCUCCCAAAGUGCUGGGAUUACAGGUGUGAGACACCGCACCUGGUCUGUUUUUUUUUUUUUUUUUUUGAGACAGGGUCUUGCUGUCACUCAGGCUGGAGUGCACUGGCGCGAUCACUGCUCCCUGCAGCUGUGACUUCCCAGGCUUAAGUGAUCCUCAUACCUCGGCCUCCUGAGUAGCUGGGACCAGAGGUGUACAUCACCACACCCAGCUAAUGUUUUAAUUUUUUUUUUAGAGACGGGGUCUCCCUUUGUUGCCCAGGCUGGUCUCAACCUCCUGGGCCAAAGCGAUCAUCUCACGCUGGCCUCCCAAAGUGCUGGGGUGACAGGCUAGAGCUUCAUGUUUUUGCCCCAGGAAUCCCACAUCUGGGGUUUAGUCCACAGACAUACUUGCCCUCAUGCAACGUGAUGACCACACGACAAGGCUAUGCACGUGCACCCUUUGCACCUGCGUGUGCCGCAGAGCCCUCCGCAGGCCCUGGACUGUCACACCUGCGGCAGCUCACUGCGCGCCCCGAAAUACAGUGUCAAGAGGAGGAGACACCAGUGUGUAGUGUGUAGCCAUCUGUGUAAAAGAAAAAAAUGCAUGUAUGUCAACGUGUGCACCUGUUUACCGGAAUUUUCACGAAAUGAUCUCUGGGAAUAUCCACAAGGUAACACUGUUUGCCCUUGGAAGCAGAGCCAGGGAACCUGAGCUGUGGGGGAAAUGGGCAUUCGCCCUCAUAUCUUCUGCAUCUUUUGAAUUUUGAACCAUGUGCAGGAAUGACCUAGUAGAAAGAAAUAAAAUGCAAAUGUUUAAGGAAUUGUCAGCUGGGUAGGAAGUGUUCUGGAUUGAUAAAGAGUUUUGAAACUAGGGAGUGGGCGUGGUGGCUCACAUCUGUAAUUCCAGCACUUUGGGAGGCUGAGGCGGGUGGAUCACCUGAGGUCAAGA